AUGGCCAGAAAAAGGAGAAAGGAUGUUCUACAGGAAAAAAAUAAGGAAACUGGAUCAAAAGGGAGCACAGACUUAACCCAAAUAGUGACAAAAGAUCACACAAGUCAAAAAAAAGAAAGAAAGAAAGAAAGAAACCAAUCCAGCAGUACAUGUCUCAAGUCCCCUCUGAUAGAUUAG
This 177-nucleotide long non-coding RNA is filed under the name Monodelphis domestica (gray short-tailed opossum). RNAcentral's name for it is "lncRNA (ENSMODG00000042120.1)". Lineage: Eukaryota; Metazoa; Chordata; Mammalia; Didelphimorphia; Didelphidae. The record is from RNAcentral.